Long non-coding RNA from Pseudopipra pipra, 3582 nucleotides. RefSeq lists it as uncharacterized. Lineage: Eukaryota; Metazoa; Chordata; Aves; Passeriformes; Pipridae. The record is from RefSeq and is a predicted model, not a curated record. The transcript has 3 exons.
ACAUCACCCCCCCCCGGCCGCCCGCCCCCGCGCUUAUCUCAUCCCCGCGCCCCCCUUCCUCCCGCCGCUCGCCGGGCCGCCCCCUCCUCCUCCUCCUCCUCUUCCUCCUCCUCCUCCCCCCGUUCUCCCGGUGGCGGGCGAGGAGGGAAGCGCGGCGCGAGGGGAGGAAGGGAGGGGAAAGGGGCCGAGCCGCUCCCGCGCUGCGCCACAACCCGCCGCCGCCUCCUCCUCCUCCUUCUCCGCCGCCGCCGCGCCCGGAGCCCCGUGAGCGCGCCCGGCCCGCCCCGCGCCGGGUCCCGAGCGAGGGGCGGGAGCGGCAGCGCCCGCGGAGCGCGGGAUGGAACUCCAGCGCCUCACUGGGCAGCUCGUUCCGAUGUCCAGUCACCCCUUCGGGGAAGAAAUUCUUCCAAAUGUCCAAUCUAAACCUUCUCUGAACCCGCUUCCUCUGAUCCUGUCACUUUUUACCGGGGAGAAGACACCGACCCCCACCUGGCUACAACCUCCUCUCAGGGAGCUGUAGAGAGCAACAAGGUCUCCCCUGAGCCUCCUCUUCUCCAGGCUGAGCCCCCCCAGCUCCCUCAGCAGCUCCUGGUGCUCCAGACCCGUCCCCAGCUCCGUUGCCCUUCUCUGGACCCAAAUGUUAAUAUUUUUGUUAAUAAAUAUUAACAAAUGUUCACGUUUAUUUGAUGUUAAUAAAUGUUAACAUGUUUAUACUGUACCCGUCGGGACCAGGUAUAAAUCAUCUGCUUAGGAGAUGUGGGGAGUGAGGUGUUUUUUUACAGGUGGCCAUUUAGUGUGUUUUUCAGAGGCAAGCGUGUAGCUCAAAUCACAGAAUGGGUCAGGUUAGAAGGGACACAGAGGGUCACUUGGACCAACCUCACUCCUCAAGCAGCGUCAUCCUGGAGUACACGACACAGGACUGUGUCCAGAUGGUUCUGGAAUGUCUCCGGUAAGGGAGACUCCACAACCUCUCUGGACAGCCUGUUCCAGUGCGCGGUCACAGCACAGUAAAGAAGUUCUUCCUCAUGUUCUGGUGGAAUUUCCUGUGCAUCAGUGUCUGCCUAUUGCUUCUUGUCCUACUGCUGGGCACCACCAAGCAGGGCCUGGUCCAUUCUCUGACACAUUCCUUGCAGAUACUGAUAGAUAUUGAUGAUGUCUCCUCUCAGCCAUCUCUUCUCAAGGCUGAACAGGCCCAGCUCCCUCAGCCUUUCCUUGUACAAAAGAUACUCCAGUCCCUUAAUUUUGUAGCCUCCACUGAACUCGUUCCAGGAAUUCCAUGUCUCUCUGAUACAGAGAAGGUACAGGCUUGGCUGCUUCUCCCGGAGCAAGUACUCUCUGUCUUUUUCCUAAAAGGCAUGUCUGGCUCUCCAGGAAUUCCCAGCGCUGCUGUUUGCUGGUCCACGAGGAGAUAAACUGUGGUGUGCCUGCCUUGCUCCCACCCUCCUCAGUACCUGCCAUAACCCAGAGCCCACUCCAAAUAAUGGCUCUUUUGUGGGCCUGUCAUAGUGUAAAACCAAGAGAAAACCUUUGAGAAAACAUGGUGGCAUGUUUAACAUAAAUAAGGAAUUGCAACCUCCUUUCGCUCCUAGAAAAAAUGGAUUCUAAUGCAUAUACAAACCUCUAUUGCAACCUUGCUACGAAAAGGACAAAUGUAAUUUUAAAUUUAAUUACCUAAAUGGGGAAAAUCCUUCAGUUACUGGCAUAGACCCAGGCAACAUGAAUUUUAGUAAUGUUGGUUACGACUAUCUUCUUUUUGCCCUAAAAAAGGGAAAGCUACUGCCCAUGUGCAUUUAAAAAAACCCUCAUAAAUGUAUGUCAGAACAGUUUUACCUAACAGUAACAAACCCAUGGCAUUGACUCUCCAUCCCUGGAAGUGUUCAAGGCCAGGUUGGAUGGGGCUUGGAGGAGCCUUGUCUAGUGGAAGAUGUCCAUGCCCAUAGCAGGGAAGUUGGAACUAGCUGGUCUUUAAGGUCCCUUCCAACCCAGGCCAUUCUGGGAUUCUGUGAUUCAUUUCAGCUGCCAAAUGGGGUUGCAGAAAUGACCACUUUGUUUAAUCCCAGCAAUUUAAGCAGCUGUUCUUGUUGCAGUGCUUUACCGUGAAGGAAGACUACAGGCCCAGCCUUGAGGAAUUUCUGCUCAGCAGCAGUGCCACAGCCAGUUCCUGGGGAAAAUGACUUAAAUCUCUGGGGCCUUCUUACAUUCCCACAGUUAACACAUUUAAACAUUUUGCUGCGAGUCUUCAAAUUGAUGUGGGUUUUUUUUCAGUGUAGAAAAAGUGAUUCAAAAUCUACCUGCGCUUUCUCUCUCCAAAACUAACACUCCCUAAACUUCAGUACAGGCAGAGAUACCAGUAUUGCAGGUUUCUGGGACUUGUAUUUUAGGUUUGCCUGUUCUACUCCUAUGACAAACACUUGCACAGGGAGCGAGUGCGAUGCCACUGCUUGCAUUGCAUCCAGUUGUACAAGUUUCAACCUGCUGUUUGGCUUUGGCUCCUCCAGACAAGAGUCUUGCUGCUCCAAACCGUCCCUUGCAGGUUGGAUCGGGCACAGAUGAACAGGAGUUGGUACAUGUUGGCUGAUGGAAUUAGCCCUGCUACCUGUGAAGGCUGGGAGCUCCUGCUCCUGAGUUAUUAUGCAGCUUUAUCACAGCACUGCUUAUGUUGUAAUCCAGCAAGUGCUUGAUCUUUUACCCGCCCAGGCACUGCAGGCAUCUUUAAUUAUCCGAGGGUUAAUUUGCAUGGGAGCUUUUGCUGAAACAAUAAAUUCAUACCUCUGUUAUUAUUUGGUAUGAGUUUCUGUAUCAAUAUUUAUAUUUGGGGAAAACCAAAGGAGCUUCCUGCUAGCACUAAGACAAAGGAAUUGCUUCAGAGCAAGUUCAGGAGUCAUCCAGCACUAAGAACAUCUUCCAGUUCUUCUCAGGGGAAGAACAAUUAUAACAUGUGGUGGGAGAACAUGUGCUCCAGUGCCUCUUUUCUAUGCAGGGAUGAGGAGAUAGAAAUGUCUUGUCUGAUGAAAAGCACGUUUUGCAAGGCUUGACAAAUGUGAUGUUCACCUUGAGCCAAUGUGGAACACUGUGAAGUGUGUACAGUAUCUUCUAUCUGUGUUUCUUUGUAUGCUACAUGAACUAAAUCCCGAAUAAUCCUGUGGAACAAGGAAUGGUUUCAUCUCCCUGUCACAGAUCCGAGGUGGAGGCACAGACAAAACAAUACUUUGCAGGGAAUUACAGUACCAUCUUAGGAGAAGAUCCAGGUUUUCAUCAUGACUCCUGACAUUUGUCCUUGCCAGUAAAACAUAUCCCCCUUUCAAUGCCACAGGAUGUUUUAUAAUAGGGGGAAAAAAAUGUUUUAGCAGAACUGUUCUACAUUAAAAGGAAGCAUUUAUUUUCAUUGGUAUCAGCUCAGUGAAGGCUUGACCCUGGGAUCACAAUGGGAGUUUUAUCCUUGACUUUAAUGGAAGAAUAAUCAAGGUCUCGUGAUAUUACAUCCUAAAGAAAGGCAAAUACUGCAGUUUGUAUCAAUAAGAUAAAUGUCUCACAUUUAGUGUAAGCCGCUAUAUUCUUGCAAUAAAUGGUUUAUUAGAUUGA